RNAcentral lists this ribosomal RNA (376 nucleotides) under uncultured fungus. RNAcentral describes it as "eukaryotic LSU rRNA". It matches the Rfam family "Eukaryotic large subunit ribosomal RNA", at positions 40 to 398 of the family's 3401-position model. The record is from RNAcentral. Lineage: Eukaryota; Fungi.
AUAUCAAUAAGCGGAGGAAAAGGAAACUAACGAAGGAUUCCCCUAGUAACUGCGAGUGAAGCGGGAAAAGCUCAAAUUUAAAAUCUGGUGGUCCUUCGCAUCGUCCGAGUUGUAAUUUAGAGAAGCGUUUUCCGCGCCUGGAACCGUGCACAAGUCUCCUGGAAUGGAGCGUCAUAGAGGGUGAGAAUCCCGUCUUUGGCAUCGGAAUACACCAGGGCUUCUUGUGAUGCGCUCUCGAAGAGUCGAGUUGUUUGGGAAUGCAGCUCAAAAUGGGUGGUGAACUCCAUCUAAAGCUAAAUAUUGGCGAGAGACCGAUAGCGAACAAGUACCGUGAGGGAAAGAUGAAAAGCACUUUGGAAAGAGAGUGAAACAGUAC